Molecule: ribosomal RNA, 487 nt
Filed under: uncultured bacterium
Lineage: Bacteria
Description: bacterial SSU rRNA
Rfam family: Bacterial small subunit ribosomal RNA
Source: RNAcentral
UUAUGGCUCAGGAUGAACGCUGGCGGCGCGCCUAACACAUGCAAGUCGAACGGUGAAGUCCCUUCGGGGGCGGAUCAGUGGCGGACGGGUGAGUAACGCGUGAGUAACCUGCCCUUACGAGCGGAAUAACGUCCGGAAACAGACGCUAAUACCGCAUGACACGUGCUUCCGGCAUCGGAGGCACGUCAAAGAUUUAUCGCGUAAGGAUGGACUCGCGUCCCAUUAGAUAGUUGGCGGGGCAACGGCCCACCAAGUCAGCGAUGGGUAGCCGGACUGAGAGGUUGAACGGCCACAUUGGAACUGAGAGACGGUCCAGACUCCUACGGGAGGCAGCAGUGGGGAAUAUUGGGCAAUGGGCGAAAGCCUGAACCCCCAGCGACGCCGCGUGAGCGAAGAAGGUCUUCGGAUUGUAAAGCUCUGUUGACAGGGACGAAAAAAUGACGGUACCUGUCGAGGAAGCCACGGCUAACUACGUGCCAGCAGCCGC